ACUCCCUGCCGGAGCUUUGGUCGCUGCUGCACUUCCUCCUCCCGGAUGUCUUCUCCGACCUCACGCAGUUCCAGAACUGGUUCGACUUUUCGCAGCAGGACGACGCCGACGGCGACAAGGAGGCGAGCAAGCGCGUCAAGGUGGUCGAGAAGCUCCACGGCAUCCUGAAGCCGUUCUUGUUGCGCCGCCUGAAGGGCGACGUUGAGACCAACCUCCCGCGCAAGAAGGAGAUUGUCCUCUACGCGCACAUGGUGG
RNAcentral lists this long non-coding RNA (255 nucleotides) under Micromonas commoda. Its description in RNAcentral is "long non-coding RNA (MCOM_LNC000266)". Lineage: Eukaryota; Viridiplantae; Chlorophyta; Mamiellophyceae; Mamiellales; Mamiellaceae. The record is from RNAcentral.